UUACGCCAUUCCGUUUCAUUGACAUGCAAUCUCUGAGGGAGUUAUAUUCAACACAGGCAGCGUUUUGGCACUAAAUAGGAUACAGAAUGGGUCGACACAGAUCACGUGAUGUCCUGCACUUUUAGCCCGGGGCUGCAACGGAAGUGUGCCGCAGUCAAGCAAAGAUUUGUUGCGUAGAAACGAACAAAAACGCGUUGUUAUUUGCGAAUUUUGCAGUGGAUCGUUCAAAUCUCAAGCGGACUUCAUGAUAUAAGUUCGUUUUUCAGGUGAAUACAACUCGCAAAACAACCAAAUCAACCCAAAGGAGAGCUAUCUUGUUUUAAAAGUUCAGAAACACUUAAAAACGACAUAAGCAUGAAUGGAUAAGUCAGGAUACAAAAACUAGGAGAAAUGCUGUCGAAAAUAUACAGUUUUCUCCAUCUAUGGUUUUGUAAUUUUAGUGGAUUAUCUGUUAUGGAAAUAAUAUCAAGUUAUGAAAACUUGAAAUUGUGACAUUAUCUUGUUAACUCUCCAGUUUUGUAUUUAUUUUUGUCCACUAACUCAUCGCUUUGGAAAUGUUUUGAUUUAGCCCAUUCACCCAUCUCGUGAUUGGCACCACCUAGCUGUAGGCCACGCCCACUCUGGAAAUUGUUCACAUUGUGCAAAAGGGAAAUUCGCCGGAAUAGCAUUGUGUAGGCGCGAGACGGAACUAGGCAACAGAAAGGGAAAUCAACACGAAUUUAUUAAGUGACUGCGGGAAUUGUGUUUGUGAGUUUAUGAUGUGUCAUGUCAGCGAGGCCUUUGGCGAGCAUAUAUAACCAGAUCAUCUGCGCAACUGGAUAGGCGGGGAGACGAUCGAAUCAUAAAGGGAAAAUUCGAUAAUUUACGAAAGGAUUAAAAGUUGCCACUGUAGUUCAAAUCAAAGUUUUUAAAUAGUUUUUUUUCGGAUACAGAUCCUAGUCGAAUUGAGAAAGAUUUUUUUUCAUUUCUGUGUGUUUUUUUAGAGAAGAAUACGAAGGAAGGCGUUGAAGUUGAACUUCAAACUACAAUUUGGGAUUUAUUUCGGAGACACAAGAUAUUUUUUGUUGUUAAUAUUCUUCAAUAAUACAAAUCUCAAAGGAUUUUUUAAGCGAUAUCGAGACUUGAGACACUUGUCUCUUCGGGUUGCCUCUUAAGGGGAUAGAAACAUUUUCGGAUUUUACCUUAAGGAAGUACCACUCGCAUAGGGAAAUACAUACCGUACUAAAAGGGAAAUACUUAAGUUUAAUUAGUCGGUAGGAUUUCUUAGGAUAAAAAAUGAAGACUUUUUGUUUAUUGUGUAUUUUGGUGACGGCGAUUGCGACUUUGAUAUCUGGACAAUACUAUGACGACACUGCUGUAUACUCCAACGAAGAUCCAUACGAGCAUAAUGCAUUCAACCUCAUGAAAAACCGACUCCAACGAAUAAACCAGUUACUACAAUUAAACAAAAAUAUGGACGGCCCUCGACCACCGGACAGUUCGAUUCAGCUACCACAGAAGCGAGGUGUGCGGGAAUGCAUUGUGAGAUGUCUGCAGCGAAAAACGCUGAAUUUCCUUGGAUGCAAGGCCAUGUGUCACUGAUCAAUGUGAUGCCACCAUCUUUGUGUCACGUGACCCGGUACCGGAAGUCACAUGACUACGAUGGUGACGGGACCGGAAAUCAGUUGAGUAGACCCGUGGAUUACAAUUUACGUGAAAACGUGGAACGAAGGGAACGAAAUGUAAAUAGUGUGUAUUUUGGAAAUAUUUUUAUCUCGGUCUGUGUGCAAUGUUCAAGCUCUUACAAGUUACGUCCAAAGUUUUCUGGAUUAACGUUAGGUGUCGCUUUACAGGUUAGUCAGAAGUUUCCGAUAUUACCGUUAGAUGUCGCUUUGGAACAAGCUGAAAUAAUGUGGAUUACGAAGUGUACCUUUCCUGGUAAAAGGAGUAUAAUAUUGUCACUUAAACAGUCAGCCAUGUUUUCAUUGCAAGACAUUUCCUGUCACACAGUUCCAGGGAUUACCGUAUGAUGUCGCUAUGAGACAAACUAAACUGGUGUCAAUGGAUUACAAUCGUCAGCAAAUUGCAGAUUUUACGAUCAAUAGUGUACUGCCAAAUACAAUUGUCAACCAUAUUUUUAUUACAGGAUACUGUUAGUCGCAAAAUUUUCGUGACCGUUAUAAUUUGGCGGAUUAAUUUCUCGAAUAACAUGUCAUUAUUCUAACUCUGAAGGUCACAUCAACAAAUUGGGCAACCCACCAUAACCGACAUGUUAGCAAUUUAUUUAGACCGACAUUUAGCUAUAUUUAAUGCUGCUCCGAAAUUCUAAUUCACUUCUUGCAGUUUAAAGUAAAAUCAGCCUUUACAAAAAAACUUGAUUGAUUGCCAACUACUAAUUUGAUGUGGCCUGAUUCCAAUCUCCCAAUGAGAGGACAAGGUUCCAUUUGCUGCCCGGAAGUGACCAACCGGAAGAGGCCAAAUGUACGCUGUAUCACUGAGCAACCGUUACCAACGGCGAGACAAGGAGAUUGGCCUGAGUUAUGUACACAAGUAGAGCUAACUUUAUCUUGCGUGGCUGGCCCUGGUUAUUCAAAAUAUGUACAGUCAAUAACUCGGCGUUAUCUUUAACUUGGCGUUAUCUCCUUCAUUCAAGUUUAUAAAGUUAACGCCAAAUUAGUGACUUACCAGUGUUGGAUAGCCGGGUCCUGGUACGCAAAAAUGUAUCUUGUCUAAAAUGUUUUCUUUCUGCAUGCAAACAAAGCCCUACUUCUCCGAUAUCUUCCAAUGCAAUGCGUAUAGAUACAAUGCAAGACUCGAUCAUCAUUCCAUCUCAAAUUUAGAAGAGAAGUGAAUUCGAGUUGGUGCAAAUUACGUCGUUCGUGUUUCGUGGAUCGAAACGCUUCCACGAGUACCAAGUGCUUAGUGCAUCCCCAUCGUGACCCCCAUGCAUCGCAUCCCGAAGUGGCCCCAUGUCGUCCCUCUCGUGUUUAGAUACUUGGUGCUGUGACGCAGGCUGCCUUCAAUCCUCACACAGUGAUUUAACUAGCGCGCCUUUUCACAAGCGCAGUGAUACUUCAAAAAGUUCCAGAAAAAGAUCGUGCUAAAGCGUUACGGACUAUGAAAGGCCUAUCUUAAUCGGAACCGGCGAUGGGUUAUCCUAAAACCAUUAUCAUACCAGGCAAAGGAAGUACACUAAGACGACGGUCGCCAAUAAUUCAACCAAAUUAAUAUUGAUGCGUAUUCCUUGUUUUUCUGAUACAUGUUCGCAAAGUAAUCUACUUAGAACACUCGUUGAUACCUGAAUUACUCUUUCAUGCACCAAAUAAAUAGAGAGAUUUAGCAAAAGCCCGAUGUGCGUGUACGUUUUUAAAAUGAAUGAUAAGGGCGACGACGUCAAAUUGAUAAAUUAUUCCGUAUCAGAUGGCACUUAAAGUUUGUGACUACCAUACAUCUAAUCUUGGAAGCCCCAUCCCAAAAUGAAAAAAAAUAAAAGGAAUUGAAUGGGGCCAUUUGACCACUUUCACUGAGAGCGAGUGGAGCCAAGUUUUGACCACAUCGAAUGACACAUUAUCGAAUCAUGUGGAAAUUGGACACGUAUAUCGUUGCGUUGCUAAACCUCUCUAUUGUGUUAUUUACUCGUAGUUUGAAAAGCAAAUGUCCAGUUAACUUUGGUAGCACCGUAACUCUGUGAUAAGAAGAAGAGGGGAUGUGAAUAAAGUGAAGUCUAAAUGAAA
Molecule: RNA transcript, 3713 nt
Organism: Lineus longissimus
Lineage: Eukaryota; Metazoa; Nemertea; Pilidiophora; Heteronemertea; Lineidae
Exons: 3
Source: RefSeq, a predicted model, not a curated record